AUUGAACGCUGGCGGCAUGCCUUACACAUGCAAGUCGAACGGCAGCACGGGGGCAACCCUGGUGGCGAGUGGCGAACGGGUGAGUAACACAUCGGAACGUACCCGGUGGUGGGGGAUAGCCCGGCGAAAGCCGGAUUAAUACCGCAUACGACCUACGGGUGAAAGCGGGGGAUCGUAAGACCUCGCGCUAUCGGAGCGGCCGAUGUCAGAUUAGGUUGUUGGUGGGGUAAAGGCCUACCAAGCCGAGAUCUGUAGCUGGUCUGAGAGGACGACCAGCCACACUGGGACUGAGACACGG
Molecule: ribosomal RNA, 298 nt
Filed under: uncultured bacterium
Lineage: Bacteria
Description: partial 16S ribosomal RNA
Rfam family: Bacterial small subunit ribosomal RNA
Source: RNAcentral